GUCGUCGUGGCCGAGUGGUUAAGGCGACAGACUAGAAAGACUAGAAAUCUGUUGGGCUCUGCCCGCACAGGUUCGAAUCCUGUCGGCGACG
Ciona savignyi (Pacific transparent sea squirt) is the source of this 91-nucleotide non-coding RNA. The record is from Rfam. NCBI's taxonomy places the organism in Eukaryota, Metazoa, Chordata, Ascidiacea, Phlebobranchia, Cionidae.